AACCAGCACCUCAAGUGGUCAGGAGGAUUAUUGGGCCUAAAGCAUCCGUAGCCGGUUCUGUAAGUUCCCGGUUAAAUCCACUAGCUCAACUAAUGGGCUGCCGGAAAUACUGCAGAACUAGGGAGUGGGAGAGGUAGACGGUACUCGGUAGGAAGGGGUAAAAUCCUUUGAUCUAUUGAUGACCACCUGUGGCGAAGGCGGUCUACCAGAACACGUUCGACGGUGAGGGAUGAAAGCUGGGGGAGCAAACCGG
Molecule: ribosomal RNA, 253 nt
Filed under: uncultured bacterium
Lineage: Bacteria
Description: partial 16S ribosomal RNA
Rfam family: Archaeal small subunit ribosomal RNA
Source: RNAcentral